GAUAUCAGGGUCAAAAUGUCAGAAAUCUGAAGCAAGCUUGCUUGCAAAAGGAUUUUUGACCUUGGAACCCGCCAAAAGUAUGAAUAAGCAGCCAUUUUUCGUAGAAAAAUGAGCGAAUUAUGAAUGUUUUUGAAGAUUGCGAGAGUGCAAAGCACGAAGCAAUCCGGUA
Molecule: small RNA, 169 nt
Filed under: human gut metagenome
Description: Clostridiales-1 RNA
Rfam family: Clostridiales-1 RNA
Source: RNAcentral